UCAUUUUCUUCUCUUCUUUCUCUCUUCUCUCCGAUUCUCUCUCUAUUCUCUCAACCCCUUCUCCCUCCGGCCACCCAUGUUCUUCACCCCCACCGUCCAAACCAUCGCCUUCUUCAGUUUUCCGAUUGAACUUCAACCGAAAAAUUCAAACACUCAAACUCCUUAUCCCCAGAACCUUCAAACCAAGCCCAUAAACCUUCAUAACCCCUCGAACCCCAUGAACCUUAACUGGGUUCGGAUGAACCCUAACAUUUUCCAGAUGAACCCUAACCCUACCCUAACCCUAA
RNAcentral lists this long non-coding RNA (287 nucleotides) under Lathyrus oleraceus (garden pea). Its description in RNAcentral is "Pisum sativum (pea) long non-coding RNA (PSAT_LNC037763)". Lineage: Eukaryota; Viridiplantae; Streptophyta; Magnoliopsida; Fabales; Fabaceae. The record is from RNAcentral.